This 530-nucleotide long non-coding RNA is filed under the name Ananas comosus (pineapple). RNAcentral's name for it is "long non-coding RNA (ACOM_LNC044557)". Lineage: Eukaryota; Viridiplantae; Streptophyta; Magnoliopsida; Poales; Bromeliaceae. The record is from RNAcentral.
AAUCCCCACAAAAUUUACUUAAAAUAUUUUAAUUUUUUAAGGGGCAAUUGCUUAUAUAUUCCUGAGUAGUUUUCGACUUUUUAAUUUACCCUCUUAGAAGGCUAUAUUGAAAAUAUUUUUUUAUGUUUCAACUAUUUUAAAUAUAUCCUUAAAGUUAAAUUCUAUUAAUGAACGGUUAGCAAUAGCUAUUAUUAGUAUGAAAUUACUAUUUUGCCCUUUCAAAUAUACCAUUCCACUAUCACCGACUUUUCUUAUUUGCCCUUAAGUUAGGAGUACAAAAAGGAUUUUGAAUUUUGGUAUUUUCAAAUAUACUCUUUUACCAUCACCAACAUUUUUUAUUUGCCCUCAAGUUAAGGGCAAAAAAAUAUUUUAAUAUUUUUUAACUCUAGUAAAUAUGUAACUCACGUUUAAUCCAAAUUAACUUAAUAGGUAGUAACUGUAGAGAUAUUUUGGAAUAACGGAGAAACAUACGGAGAGUAUAUUGGAAAGAAAAAAAAUAAAGAUAAAUGAGAUAUUUAUAAAGUUUUGAG